This 363-nucleotide unclassified non-coding RNA is filed under the name uncultured bacterium. Its description in RNAcentral is "contains 16S-23S intergenic spacer region". The record is from RNAcentral.
UCCCUGUUACCAGGGCAGUCUAGCUAGAGAAAUUCAACUAACUAAAAGGGUUGCGCUCGUUGAUGGACUUAACCAAACAUCUCACGACACGAGCUGACGACGGCCAUGCAACACCUGUCACUUGGUUCCCGAAGGCACACUCUGCUUUCGCAGUGCUUCCAAGGAUGUCAAGCCUGGGUAAGGUUCUUCGCUUACCAUCGAAUUAAACAACACGCUCCACCGCUUGUGCGGGUCCCCGUCAAUUCCUUUAUGUUUUAGUCUUGCGACCGUACUCCACAGGCGGGAUGCUUAACGCGUUAGCUUCGCUACAUGAGGGGUCGAUACCUCAUACAGCUAGCAUCCAUAGUUUACGGCGUGGACUAC